ACGUACGCUGGCGGCACGCCUAACACAUGCAAGUCGAACGAAGUAGCAAUACUUAGUGGCAGACGGGUGAGUAACAUGUAGGUAUCUGCCCUUUGGCCUGGAAUAACACGAGGAAACUUGUGCUAAUACCGGAUAAGUCUUUACGGAGAAAGCUUUAUGCACCAUUGGAUGAGCCUGCACUUGAUUAGUUUGUUGGUGGGGUAAUGGCCUACCAAGACUGUGAUCAAUAGCUGAUUUGAGAGGAUGAUCAGCCACAUUGGGACUGAGACACGGCCCAAACUCCUACGGGAGGCAGCAGUGGGGAAUCUUGCACAAUGGAGGAAACUCUGAUGCAGCGAUGCCGCGUGAGUGAAGAAGGCCUUUGGGUUGUAAAGCUCUUUCGUCGGGGAAGAAAAUGACUGUACCCGAAUAAGAAGGUCCGGCUAACUUCGUGCCAGCAGCCGCGGUAAUACGAAGGGACCUAGCGUAGUUCGGAAUUACUGGGCUUAAAGAGUUCGUAGGUGGUUGAAAAAGUUAGUGGUGAAAUCCCAGAGCUUAACUCUGGAACUGCCAUUAAAACUUUUCAGCUAGAGUAUGAUAGAGGAAAGCAGAAUUUCUAGUGUAGAGGUGAAAUUCGUAGAUAUUAGAAAGAAUACCAAUUGCGAAGGCAGCUUUCUGGAUCAUUACUGACACUGAGGAACGAAAGCAUGGGUAGCGAAGAGGAUUAGAUACCCUCGUAGUCCAUGCCGUAAACGAUGUGUGUUAGACGUUGGAAAUUUAUUUUCAGUGUCGCAGCGAAAGCGAUAAACACACCGCCUGGGGAGUACGACCGCAAGGGUUAAAACUCAAAUGAAUUGACGGGGACCCGCACAAGUAGUGGAGCAUGUGGUUUAAUUCGAAGAUACGCGCAGAACCUUACCAACACUUGACAUGUUCGUCGCGACUCUAAGAGAUUAGAGUUUUCGGUUCGGCCGGACGAAACACAGGUGCUGCAUGGCUGUCGUCAGCUCGUGUCGUGAGAUGUUGGGUUAAGUCCCGCAACGAGCGCAACCCUCACUUUUAGUUGCCAUCAUUAAGUUGGGCACUCUGAAAGAACUGCCAGUGAUAAGCUGGAGGAAGGUGGGGAUGACGUCAAGUCCUCAUGGCCCUUACGUGUUGGGCUACACACGUGCUACAAUGGUAUCUACAACAGGAAGCAAAACUGCGAAGUUAAGCAAAUCCCUAAAAGAUACCUCAGUUCGGAUUGCACUCUGCAACUCGAGUGCAUGAAGCUGGAAUUACUAGUAAUCGUGGAUCAGCGUGCCACGGUGAAUGCGUUCCCGGGUCUUGUACACACCGC
Molecule: ribosomal RNA, 1318 nt
Filed under: uncultured Alphaproteobacteria bacterium
Lineage: Bacteria; Pseudomonadati; Pseudomonadota; Alphaproteobacteria
Description: bacterial SSU rRNA
Rfam family: Bacterial small subunit ribosomal RNA
Source: RNAcentral